RNAcentral lists this ribosomal RNA (253 nucleotides) under uncultured bacterium. RNAcentral describes it as "partial 16S ribosomal RNA". It matches the Rfam family "Bacterial small subunit ribosomal RNA", at positions 524 to 776 of the family's 1533-position model. The record is from RNAcentral.
UACGAAGGGGGCUAGCGUUGCUCGGAAUCACUGGGCGUAAAGCGCACGUAGGCGGAUUGCUAAGUCAGGGGUGAAAUCCUGGAGCUCAACUCCAGAACUGCCUUUGAUACUGGCGACCUUGAGUCCGGGAGAGGAGAGUGGAAUUCCUGGUGUAGCGGUGAAAUGCGCAGAUAUCAGGAAGAACACCCGUGGCGAAAGCGGCUCUCUGGAACGGUACUGACGCUGAGACGCGAAAGCGUGGGGAGCGAACAGG